This 484-nucleotide ribosomal RNA is filed under the name uncultured Saccharopolyspora sp. RNAcentral's name for it is "partial 16S ribosomal RNA". Lineage: Bacteria; Bacillati; Actinomycetota; Actinomycetes; Pseudonocardiales; Pseudonocardiaceae. The record is from RNAcentral.
CGCGUAGUUAGCCGGUGCUUCUUCUACACCUACCGUCACCCGAAGGCUUCGUCGAUGUCGAAAGAGGUUUACAACCCGAAGGCCGUCAUCCCCCACGCGGCGUUGCUGCGUCAGGCUUUCGCCCAUUGCGCAAGAUUCCCCACUGCUGCCUCCCGUAGGAGUCUGGGCCGUGUCUCAGUCCCAGUGUGGCCGGUCACCCUCUCAGGCCGGCUACCCGUCGUCGCCUUGGUAGGCCAUCACCCCACCAACAAGCUGAUAGGCCGCGGGCUCAACCUGCACCGCCGGAACUUUCCACACGCAGACCAUGCGGCCACGUGUCCUAUCCGGUAUUAGACCCCGUUUCCAAGGCUUAUCCCAGAGUGCAGGGCAGAUUACCCACGUGUUACUCACCCGUUCGCCACUCAUCCACCCCGAAGGGCUUCAGCGUUCGACUUGCAUGUGUUAAGCACGCCGCCAGCGUGUCCUGAGCCACGGAGUCAAACUC